GACGAACGCUGGCGGCGUGCCUAAUACAUGCAAGUUGAGCGCUGAAGGUUGGUACUUGUACCGACUGGAUGAGCAGCGAACGGGUGAGUAACGCGUGGGGAAUCUGCCUUUGAGCGGGGGACAACAUUUGGAAACGAAUGCUAAUACCGCAUAAAAACUUUAAACACAAGUUUUAAGUUUGAAAGAUGCAAUUGCAUCACUCAAAGAUGAUCCCGCGUUGUAUUAGCUAGUUGGUGAGGUAAAGGCUCACCAAGGCGAUGAUACAUAGCCGACCUGAGAGGGUGAUCGGCCACACUGGGACGGAGACACGGCCCAAACUCCUACGGGAGGCAGCAGGAGGGAAUCUUUGGCAAAGGAAGAAAGUCUGACCGAGCAACGCCGCGGGAGUGAAGAAGGUUGUCGGAUCGUAAAACUCUGUUGGUAGAGAAGAACGUUGGUGAGAGUGGAAAGCUCAUCAAGUGACGGUAACUACCCAGAAAGGGACGGCUAACUACGUG
Molecule: ribosomal RNA, 497 nt
Filed under: uncultured bacterium
Lineage: Bacteria
Description: partial 16S ribosomal RNA
Rfam family: Bacterial small subunit ribosomal RNA
Source: RNAcentral